Non-coding RNA from Ameiurus melas (black bullhead), 72 nucleotides. The record is from the annotation of a GenBank genome assembly. NCBI's taxonomy places the organism in Eukaryota, Metazoa, Chordata, Actinopteri, Siluriformes, Ictaluridae.
AGGGGUUUGCUCCGUGGUUAAGACGUUGGACUACUGAUCAGAAGGUCAUGAGUUCAAAACCCAGCACUGCUG